This 465-nucleotide ribosomal RNA is filed under the name uncultured bacterium. RNAcentral's name for it is "partial 16S ribosomal RNA". It matches the Rfam family "Bacterial small subunit ribosomal RNA", at positions 338 to 795 of the family's 1533-position model. The record is from RNAcentral.
CCUACGGGAGGCUGCAGUGGGGAAUUUUGCGCAAUGCUCGUAAGAGUGACGCAGCGACGCCGCGUGAAUGACGAAGGCCUUCGGGUCAUAAAGUUCUUUCGACAGGGAAGAAAAUGCCUAUAAGUAACUGUGUAUGUAUUGACGGUACCUGUAUAAGCAGCCCCGGCUAACUCCGUGCCAGCAGCCGCGGUAAUACGGAGGGGGCGAGCGUUGUUCGGAGUGACUGGGCGUAAAGAGCACGUAGGCGGUGUUGUAAGUCAUUAGUCAAAGACUAGAGCUCAACUUUAGUAAGGCUAGUGAUACUAUAAUACGAGAGUAUCAGAGAGGAUUGCAGAAUUCGUGGGGUAGCGGUGAAAUGCGUAGAUAUCAGGAGGAAUACCGUUAGCGAAGGCGGCAAUCUGGCUGGAAACUGACGCUGAGGUGCGAAAGCGUGGGUAGCAAACAGGAUUAGAUACCCCAGUAGUC